RNAcentral lists this long non-coding RNA (677 nucleotides) under Lathyrus oleraceus (garden pea). Its description in RNAcentral is "Pisum sativum (pea) long non-coding RNA (PSAT_LNC027479)". Lineage: Eukaryota; Viridiplantae; Streptophyta; Magnoliopsida; Fabales; Fabaceae. The record is from RNAcentral.
UAGCAACGGCUGUCAGACUUUCAGGGUAAACAGGGAUUGAAUACCAAGAACCGUAGAAUUUGCACCAUACAGGGAUCCGCCAAUGGAAACGUCCACUGGGAUUUGAUAUUUAUUACUGGGUAUUUUGUUUUGUUUUCAAGGGGUACGAUCACAUCCAGACAUCACAACGAUGACGAAUGGGAAAAAUAAAUCACAACUAGAUGCCAACGGACAACUAGGAAAAACUCGACGUUUACCAAGACCAACGACGAGGUAACCAGACGUUAUUGAAUGAUUGGAAGGGAUACAACCACACGUCAACAGACGAAAUGGGAAAAACUCAACGUUUACCAAGACCAACGGAGAGGUAAAUCCACAUGGGGACAGGUACAACUAGACGUCAUAGGACGAAUAGGAAAGACUCGACGUUUAUCGACACCAACGGAGAGGAGGAAUACUUCACUAGGGAAGAAGGGCACAAACAAAUCAUCAACGGAUGAUCGGGAAAAACUCGACGUUUAUCGAAACCAACGGAGAGGUAACUCUGCAUGGAGAGGGGUACAACUAGACAUCAUCGGAUAACUAGGAAAAACUCGACGUUUAUCAAAACCAACGGAGAGGUAAACAGACAUUAAUGAAUGACUGGGGGGGGCUCGACCAGACAUCAACGGAUGAAUGGGAAUACUCGACGUUUACAG